This 253-nucleotide ribosomal RNA is filed under the name uncultured bacterium. RNAcentral describes it as "partial 16S ribosomal RNA". It matches the Rfam family "Bacterial small subunit ribosomal RNA", at positions 524 to 776 of the family's 1533-position model. The record is from RNAcentral.
UACGGAGGGUGCAAGCGUUAUCCGGAUUUACUGGGCGUAAAGCGAGUGUAGGCGGUUUGGUAAGUCGGAUGUGAAAGCCCCGGGCUCAACCCGGGAAGUGCACUCGAUACUGCCAGGCUAGAGUAUCGGAGAGGUUGGUGGAAUUCUCGGUGUAGAGGUGAAAUUCGUAGAUAUCGAGAGGAACACCGGUGGCGAAGGCGGCCAACUGGACGAAUACUGACGCUGAGACUCGAAAGCGUGGGGAGCAAACAGG